GUUCAGGGGGCCUAGUGGUUAACGUUCCUGUUUUUGGAUUUGGUGACCUUGGUUCGAUUCCGGAACCCCUCAACA
This is a non-coding RNA of Caenorhabditis brenneri, 75 nucleotides long. NCBI's taxonomy places the organism in Eukaryota, Metazoa, Nematoda, Chromadorea, Rhabditida, Rhabditidae. The record is from the annotation of a GenBank genome assembly.